Molecule: ribosomal RNA, 253 nt
Filed under: uncultured bacterium
Lineage: Bacteria
Description: partial 16S ribosomal RNA
Rfam family: Bacterial small subunit ribosomal RNA
Source: RNAcentral
UACGUAGGGUGCGAGCGUUGUCCGGAAUUAUUGGGCGUAAAGAGCUUGUAGGCGGUUUGUCGCGUCUGCUGUGAAAUCUCAAGGCUCAACCUUGAGCUUGCAGUGGGUACGGGCAGACUAGAGUGUGGUAGGGGAGACUGGAAUUCCUGGUGUAGCGGUGGAAUGCGCAGAUAUCAGGAGGAACACCGGUGGCGAAGGCGGGUCACUGGUCCGGUACUGACGCUGAGGUGCGAAAGCGUGGGGAGCAAACAGG